RNAcentral lists this transfer RNA (68 nucleotides) under Paralepas cf. quadrata. RNAcentral's name for it is "tRNA-Leu". It matches the Rfam family "tRNA". From Rfam's summary of the family: Transfer RNA (tRNA) molecules are approximately 80 nucleotides in length. Their secondary structure includes four short double-helical elements and three loops (D, anti-codon, and T loops). Lineage: Eukaryota; Metazoa; Arthropoda; Thecostraca; Heteralepadidae. The record is from RNAcentral.
UUUAAGAUGGCAGAAUAGUGCAACGGAUUUAAGCUUCGUAUAUAAAGGUUUAAUUCCUUUUCUUAAAA